AGAUCUCAUUGGGCGUAAAGCGUGCGCAGGCGGUUUUGUAAGACAGAGGUGAAAUCCCCGGGCUCAACCUGGGAACUGCCUUUGUGACUGCAAGGCUGGAGUGCGGCAGAGGGGGAUGGAAUUCCGCGUGUAGCAGUGAAAUGCGUAGAUAUGCGGAGGAACACCGAUGGCGAAGGCAAUCCCCUGGGCCUGCACUGACGCUCAUGCACGAAAGCGUGGGGAGCAAACA
This 229-nucleotide ribosomal RNA is filed under the name uncultured Alicycliphilus sp. Its description in RNAcentral is "partial 16S ribosomal RNA". It matches the Rfam family "Bacterial small subunit ribosomal RNA", at positions 551 to 774 of the family's 1533-position model. The record is from RNAcentral. Lineage: Bacteria; Pseudomonadati; Pseudomonadota; Betaproteobacteria; Burkholderiales; Comamonadaceae.